RNAcentral lists this long non-coding RNA (16884 nucleotides) under Marmota monax (woodchuck). The stretch from base 10238 to 10310 matches the Rfam family "tRNA". The record is from RNAcentral. Lineage: Eukaryota; Metazoa; Chordata; Mammalia; Rodentia; Sciuridae.
CACCGGGUUCGCACUAGAACAUGAAAUUGUGGCUGCAGCAGGAUGGUAUUUAUCAUUACAUUUGCAACGAUCCAGAGAAAGGAAAUACAUAUCCCGGAAAAUGGAACUCAGUAUUGUUUCCUUUUGAAACUUGGGGGCGGGUCACAUCCGAACUUUAAUGGACAACCAGGAAUUUACCAACCUCCAAGUCCCGAGCCCCACCUCUCCUGGGUUUCAGAAUUCCUAGCAUAGGUAAGAGCCAAAGAAUGCUGAGGCUUAUGCUUUUAAACCUGAUUCCCCUAAGGAGUACUCCCAGGCUGAGGAGCCUCUUUUUAGGCCUGGAAUGACUAGAACUCUUAUUCUUCCUGUUCUGAAAAGGAUCAUGAAUCAGGUUGUUUUGAAACAGUAUCUACCACCUAUGUUGCUGUAAAUGAUUUUUUUUUCUUUUUUUUUUUUUUUUUUGCGGCUGAAUACUAUUCCAUUUGAUCACUGUGAAUUAUAUAUAUGUUUCAAAUUAUUAUACUGGGCCCUAUAAAGAUGUACAAAUAUGUCAGAGAGAGAGAGAGAGAGAGAAAGAGAGAAAGAAAACAAGCAUGCAUCACCUAAGUUUUGCCCCACCCAAAAGUAUUUCCUGACCUCGGUAUAAUAGUCCAUGAAAUUUCCAGAUUCCUUGAUGACUUGCUCCCCCCACGCCCAUAGCUUUUCUUGUCUAUAAUCUGUUUCAGUUUCAUCUUUAAUCUUCCAUUCCUUUUCUCUUCUAAAUUUCUAUUCCCAUCUAGCAUCUGGCCAUCUGGCUAGCAUUCUCUAACCUUUUAAAUAAUCUCUUUAUAAAAAUUCCAAGUUUGUGAACUGUUAUGGAUUGAUUCAUCACAAAUAGAGAUUUAAAUAGCUUUCUGACGUAGAUUAUUUUUUUAAAAUCUCAAAGUAAACAUUGUUCUGAUGCCCUCUUUUAAGUUUGGAUUAUUAAUGUGUGAUUUAAUAAGGUUGUAGGAGUUCAGAGUUUCCUUAUCACCUCUCAAAAAAUGGUUACUGCCAAAAAUCCAGCUCGGCCUAAAGUUCUGAAAUAGCUUUUUUUUUUUUUUCUUACUAUUUUGUCUUGUCUAGCCCCCAACAUUCUCCUUCCCCUGCUUGUAGUUCUUCAUAACACAAUCAGAUUGUAUAUGUUUAUUUACAUAUUGUCAGUCACUCCCACUUGAAACACAGAACUUGUUGAUUUUUAAAUCUCUAGUAUCUAACACAGUGCUCAGUAUAUAAUAAAAGCUCAUUAAAUGUAUGUAGACUCAUUGAUAAAUUCCAACCCAUGAAGUAUUAUUGGUUCUUUUAAAUAAUGUUCUGCCUCUUACUAUACUUUAUUGUCUCUAUGCAGCUGUUCUCUAACCCUCUCCUGUCAGUAUUAACUGGCAGGAAAAGUAGGACAAUGACCCUAACAGAAUGAUGAAAUGACAGCACUGCAGACAUGGCAUUCUGUGCAGAGAAAGACCUGGCUCUCUUUGUUCAUUUGUCAGUUCAUAUGUUUGACUAUAGGCAGUAGAAGGUGUCACCAACAAUGCUUUAACAAUAUAUUUCUUGUUUACUUGACAGGAAGUUCAGUGGUAACUUCUUGUUGCCUUGUGGUAACCUGGUUGCUUUGAGUUGGACAACCAAGUUUAGAACCAUAUAUGCUUUAAAAACUCUUUUCUCCUGUGCCAUAGCCCGAUGCUCUUCCAGUGGCAAUGGUUACCAUAGCUCUAAUUAGCUCUUCUUCUCACAGAAGUUGAAAUAUAUAGAGAGUGUCUGCAACAACAACAACAGCAGCAAAGAGGAUACUCAGAAAAUAUAUUUAUUUCCUGGAUGCUCUGACUUCAUACAUGUCAUUGGUCCAAACUGAGUCACAUGUGUACCUGUAGGUCAUUAAAUGGCAAAAAAAAGUGAGAUAUUUAUGAUUUUCUGACUCAAUGAUUCUUUUCUGGGGGUUGUUAGUAUCAGAAUUCUGUUAACAAGGAAGAGGGGAAGAUAGUUUUUGAGUAGUAUGUACCUGAAGCGGUUUGAAUAGUUAAAUGCAUCUGAUCAAAUUUGCUGUAGAGCAGACCUGCUUCAGAUAGGCAUUUAAAAGAGUAGUUAAACAGACUAAAAGUAUUUUACAACUAGAGAGAAGGUAAAUUACAUGGUGACUCAUCUCAAUCAAAACAUUCCAUUUUUAUGUGUAUUUAUGUUAUAAGUUAAGCUAGCAUUGAUAUAGGAGGGUUUUUUUUUUAAUGCAAAAUGAAAUCUUUGGUGGUUUUAUUGAUGUACUUAGACCACUUAUAUAGAAUGUAAUUUUGUUAAGGUUGGUAUACUGAUCAGAAUGUUUGGGUUGAAAUCCUAAUUCCCAAGAAAUGGCACUAGGAAGUGAGGACUUUGGAGGUGAUUAGCUCAUGAGUGAGUGGAAUUACGCCUUAAUAAAAUGGCCCCAGAGAAAUCUCUUGCCCUUUCCAUCAUGUGAAGACACAGAAGCCAUCAUAUAUGAGGAGAUGAACUCUUACCAGAUACUAAAUCUUCUGGUACCUUGAUCCUGGACUUUUCAUUUUCUAGAGCUGUGAGAAAAAAAAUAUGGUUUAUAAGCCAUGCUAUUUAUGGUAUUUUGUUAUAAAAUCCCAGUUGGACUAAGACAAUUGGUUUUUAUGUGGAUCAUUUUCAUAUUUGAUUUGAUUAUGACUUCAUUUAAGUAUGUGUUUCUCUGUUCUCCCUUUUUUUUUUUCUUUCUAUCUGAAAUGUCCUGCAAGGAUCAUGUAUUGGAGUCUUGGUCCCCAGUAUAGCAAUGUUCUGAGGAGUUUUGAGGAAGUGAUUGGAUCACCAAGGCUCAGCCCUCACAGAGGGAUUAAUCUAUUGAUAGGUCCAUAAUUUGAUCACAUUAUUGGGAAAUGGUAGAAACUGUAGGAAGUGGGUUCUUGGGGGUGUGCCCUGGAAGGGCUUAUCUUGUCCGACUUCUUUCCUUGUUCUCUCUUUCCUUCUGUUUCCCAGCUACUCUGAGGUGAUCUGCUUUGCUCCACCAUGCUAUUCCACCAUGAUGUUCUGCCUCAAAUAGGCCCCCAAACAAUGGAGUCAGCCAACCAUGAAUUGAAGUCUGUGAAAUUGUAAGCUAAAAUAAAUCUUUCCUUCUCUAAGUUGAUUUUCUCAGGAUUCUGUUCCAGUGAUGAAAAGAUAACACCUUUAUUUUGACUACCUGUAAAUCUUUUAGUAAUCGGCUUGUUUAUACCUAAUUUUUUGACCAUAAUUCUCUAUAUAUUUAGCAGUUAAUCUAGGUAAUAUUAUUUCCAAUCUAUAUUUUUAGCAGUUAAUCUAGGUAAUACUAUUUCCAAUCUACCUUAUAAUUGACCUGUGUGUUGUGUUCACAUACAUUGAAAAUUAUACCAGAUACUUUUUAUAUUUUUGCUUUUGAGAGUUAUUUAUAUUUGUAAAAACUCAAGAGAUAGUUUAUUAUGAUUGUUGGAAUAUUUAUUAUUUCUGUGCUCUUUCUUUUUUCCUGAAAUUUAAGGUUCCCUCAUGACAGCAUUUCAGUUUGAAGAAUUCCAGUUAGUAUUUAUUUUAGAGAAGGCCUUGUAGCAAUGAAUUCUGCUAGUUUUCCUUCAUCUGAGGUUUUUGUUUUUUUCUUUUGCCCUCACUAUUGAUGGAUAUUUUUACUGGAUAUAGAAUUCUGGGUUGUAAGUUCUUUAUGGGUAUAAUCCCACUGUCUUCUGAGAACCUGGAUUUCUGGUAAGAAAUCAGCAAUCCUUCAGAUUCUUGUUCCCUUCUUUCUGAUGAGUCAUUUUUUCUGACUGUUUUUCUUCAUCUUUCGUUUUCAGUAGUUUGAUUAUAUUAUAAGUGGGUUUGGUUUUCUUUGAAUUUAUACUUUUCAGGAGGUUUCUUUCUGUUCUUAUGGAUGUAAAUAUAUGUCUUUUAUCAAAUUUGUGUUUUCUGCAAUUAUUUCUUCAAAUUUUUCUUUCUGUACUAACGUUUUUCUCCCUUUUUUUAGAACUUCAAUACUAGAAGGCUAGAUCUGUUAAAUUUUGCCCCAUACAUCCCUGAGAUUGAUUUUUUUCCCCAAUUUUUAUUCUCUUCAUUUUAGAGGUUGAAUAAAUACUGUUUCAAGUUCAUCAACACAUUUCUAUUCUCCUUGAGAACAUUGAAUGAAUUUUUAAUUUCAGAUAUUAUUUUUCAGUUCUAAAAGAAUCAGUUUCAAUAGUUCCUGUUUCCUUUCUAAUGACAUUGAUCUUUCCAUUUAUUUUCAUAAUGUCUAUUUUUAUCCAUUGAGCAUGAUUAUAAUAAUUGUUUAAAAGUCUUUCUAAGAAUUUUAGUACAUCAGUUAUUUCAGGUUGACAUCUAUUGUUUUUUUCCUCUUUAGAAUUUGUCAUGUGUGCUGGCUUUUUUUUUUUUUUUCUUUCUUUUUUCUUUUGGUUUGGUCUUGUUUUUAUAUGUUGAGUGAUCUUAAAUUUUUUUCCCGGACAUUUUGAAUCAGAUGAUUAGCUGGAUCCUGUUAAAAUCCUUUAGAAAACACCCUCUCUUUUACUUUCACAGGCAGUGGUCUUGGACAUAUUCAGACUGCAGGUUCUGCCCUUCUGUGGGCAGGGUUCCAAUAUCAGCUUAGUUCUCAAUGCCUUUGCUCUCCUGCUGUGAGUCUGUCUCCACAUGAGCAGCUCAGAGGAGUCUGGGACUGAUGUCACUUCACACACAGAGUUAAGAAAUCUCUUUCAUUACUUCACUCUCUAUUGUUUCCCCCACUCCCUGUGGCACCCAGGAUCCCUUUUUUCUAAUCCCCUAGACACAAAUUUGGUGUUUCUCUUUAGAGGAAGAUGCUGCUGAAUAGUUUUAUGCAAUCAGACAAAGCAGUGAAGGGAAAGAGGGGAUUCCUCUUUCACUUCAGAUUAUAGGGUCUUCUUUUCCCACUUCCUCUAACAAGAAAGAUAAGUUUUCUCUUUGUGAAAAAGUUUCUCUCUCUCUCUCUCUCUCUCUCUCUCUCUCUCUCUCUCUUUCUCUCUCUCUCUCUCUCUCUCUCUCAUCGGAAGCUAAUAUAGCCCAGAACUGAGGCCAUUCUCAAAGUAUGAAUAAAUAAAUGGGUGUAAGAGAUGAAUCUUUCUCCCUGAAGAAUUCCAAAUAAUUUAUAUAGAUUCUUCUCCCACUCAGCUUGAUAUGUAUUAGACUUAGUGAUUUUCUUUCAGCCCAGUGAACACUAUUUUAGCCAGGUGAUGAAAGUUAGGAUCACUAGUGAUAAGUUAUGUUGAUAGUGUGUUCCUCUUAUAUGAUAUUAUGAAAAGGACUCAUUGCCUCUUUAAUAUUCUUCCUUAAAAUCCAUAAGUCCAGUAGAAGCACGAGGAAAAAUUAGGCAAUCCCAAUAUGAGGGAUAUUUUUAAAAAUAUUCAUCUAACACUCCUCCAAACUCUCAAGGCCACAGGAAACAAGGGAAGACUGAGGAAGGGUCAUAGACCAGAGAAGUUUAAGGAGGCAUGAUGACAACUUGCAGUGUGUUAUCCUGGAUUGGAUCCUAGAACAGAGAAAGGACUUCAGUGGAAAAACCAUUGAAUCCAAAUAAAGCCUGGAGUUUAGUUAAUAACAAUGUAGAAAUACAAGUUUCUUGGUUUUCUCAAAUGGACCUGGUAAUGUUAACAGUGGGUGUGAGGAACAUUAGAAUCUCCAUCCUAUUUUUGCAGCUUUUCUGUAAAUACAGAUAUUUUCCACAGUAAGCUUUUAUUGAAAAAACAAACAAGCAAGCAAACAUGGAUUGACCUUAUUCUCUCUUGCUUUCAUGUGCCCCUUUUUCCUGGUUCUCUGGCUGAAGGAUAUUUCUCUCUGAGUUUCUGCUGCUUGUGCCCUUGCAUGGUCCCACAGUGGGAACACCCUUCAUUCAAAGCCAGGAAAUAAAAGAGGCAAAAACCUUCCAUAAAACUUAAUCUUGUUCUUCAGUUUUUGACUUUGCCCCCCAAACCACCUCCUAUUGCCAGUGCUCAGAUCAUUUAUUUUAUUAUUAUCAUCUUCAGAGAUUUGUUUUUGAUCUUUGGAAGAGAUAGGAUUCAAUGUUAUAUUCCAUAUUGCCCAAUACCAGAAGUCCUAAUUUCUCUACCUUCAUCCUCAGGUCUUACAGAUGUAGUUGGAUUGCUGCAUAACCAUCAACACUCAGUCAUUAUCUCUUUGUAUAGUGCAAGCAUUCAUCUUAUUAUUGCCUAAGAAUUUUUAGCUUGUAAAUAUGAUAUCUGCUUGUGCAUACCUAGAUCUUAACUAGGGCACUGAACCUAUGUUUUUGCUGAUGUUUGAAAUUCUUUUAUGGCCCAAAUUUCUGUUUCACAAUUGGAGGUAAAAUUUUACAAGGCAAAUACCUCUAGAAAGGAGGACAAGGACUAACCUUUAUGAAACACCUACUAAACUUCAGUCCAGAUGUUCAACAUAUACAAUCACAUUCAAACUGACAGAAACCCUGUGGAGGUGCAUCUUGGGAUAGAAUGCCAAGAUGAUUGAUAAGGAGCCUAAGGUUCAGACAGAUGGGCUGUGUGCCAUGUUUCACAUUCACAGGUAGGAUAAGUUGUAGAGCCAAGAUCAAACCCAACUUUUUCACUGCUCUUGCCUCAAGGAUAAAGGGGUUAGAAGAAGGAAGGGAAAAUAUGAAAGAAGGAAGAGGAAGGGAAAAGCUAAACUUAUUUUAAUAAAUAGAAUGAAGAGACAGUAACAAAUCUCCCUGUACAGUCUUUUUCAUAGUGUCCUGUAUGUGCCUUAUUUACACUGAGGUGCUGCUCUCUGUGUUAAUCAUACUCUGGAUCACCCUGUGCAUCUGUAUGCCUAAAUAUGCCAUCCACUGUCUUCCAAAAAUGAUCUGUGGCAGCUGAGGAGGAAACAACUGAAAUAAGCAUUUUUACUUGGAGGAAAGUUUGAAAGGAGAAGGAUCAUGGGGAAGGAGCAACUAAGUAACCAAUGCAACCCCCAUAGCCAAAAUACAGGUGAUAAUUUUUGUUUGAUUCCCCAUUUGAUGGGAAGACAGAAGUUAAUCUAUUCUGAGUAGUAGAAAAGGUCCUGCCUUCUUAUUUCAUGGUUUACACAUGCAUAAUGUAGUUGUAUUGUGAUUACAAAAGAAUGAGCAGAGAGAGGGAAGAGUUCCCAUGAAUGAACUAAUCGUACAUUACAUUGCCAUUACUAAAACUGUACAAGCAAACACGAAAUCAAGACAUGCAAGGUAAGUAACAAUUAAGGGUCUAAAAUAAAUAUAAUUACAUCUAUAUUGAAAGCAGAAUCCAUGAGAAAAGUUAAUCUCUGACCAAACCUUAUUUGUUCUACAUGAUUGCCCUUUAAUAUCCCUUUCCCUUCAUGAGGGUCUGCUCCAAUUGAAAUUGCCAUGUAAUAACUGACUCUAUUAUUGAUUUCGCAGAACACCUUCUUGCAAGUAUAUGUUGCCUGACAAAGAAUUCUAAUUGAAUUAUGGAAAAAAAUUAUCAUGAAACUUGUGGAGGCUAUAAUGGCUUUAAAAAGUCAUUUUAUGAACUGAGGUCCAAAGAAUGAAGGCAUUCUAUUCCAAUGGAUAGACUCAAGGACAAGAGCCAAUGAGCAUGUGAGUAUGGGUGAGUCCUAUGCCUGUGGUUCGGUACCAUUCAGACCCUUCCACCACCAGCUCCCUUUCCCCCUGUUCUGAAGCAAUAUCUGCCAUCCACCAUUCCCAAAUUAGUAAUGCAUUGGUAAAUGCAUGUGCAUUUAGGAAUAUAUAGGUAUCUAUUUUUCUAUGUUACAAUCUUAUAUAGUUUUAUGCAUUUGUCUUAUACAUACACUGAUAAUCAUAUGUUACUUGUGGGGUUGUACACUAUGUUCUCCUUUACUUCAUACUUCCUAUUAAUACAAAAAAAUCUGUCUCAUAGUGGCAGGAUUCUAUUGUCUGACCACAUCAUUAUUUGUGUAAUCAUAGCCUCACUGAUAGGCAUUUAGGUUAUUUUAGAUUUAGAUCCAUGAAUAGUAAUAACAUUUAAUAUCCUUUAAAGGCUAUGCCAUUUUUAGUGUAAAUGGAUAUAACAAAACUUUUCUUCAAAAAGAUUAUAUCCUUACUAACAGUGCGUGAGAUCACUUUAAAAUUUCCAAUGUUGUGCCUGAAUUAGUCAAGGAAAUAAGUAAAAGAUGGUAUUUCAUUGUGAUUUAAAUUUACCUUUUUAGGAAUAGGAGGGAUUAUGAGUGAAGCUGAGCAUAUUUUCAUAUGAUAUAUAUUUUUUGAAAUGGGAACUCAUAAUUGUUGCUUUUUUCCUUUUUUCUUUUUAAAUUGACUUACAGAUCUUUUUACAGUGUUCUAGGUAUUGAAAUUUGGUGUCAUAUAUUAUAAAUAUUUUGCCAUAUUAUACAUUUUUGUUUUUUUAUCCUAGAGAUGCUUUUAAUUUAAAUUGAAUUAAAUAUAAAUUUAUUUAAUAUAAACAUUUAUUAAUCAUUUACAUUUCAGCUUUAUUUUCUAGAAAAUCGUAAGAAAGCUUCCCCUUCCCACAAUAACACUUUCCCUAUAUUUUGUUCUAAUACUUGUGAUUUUUUAAGCCUUCAACUCUUUAAUAAUCUGAGCAACUUGUGAAGAAAAUAUUUAAUGAUCUCCCCCAAAUUGCCAAUUCCUGCAAUAUAAUUUAUUGAAUAAUUUUCCUUUACCCAUUGAAUGAAACAUUAAUUUUUAUUAUGUGAUAAGUUGAUACAGAUCUGUCAGUAUGUUUUUUGUUUUGUUUUGUUUUGGUACUGAGGAUUGAAUUCAGGGGCAAUUUACCACUGAGAUAUAUUCCAAACCCUUUUUUUUAUUUUUUAUUUUGAGACAGGGUCUUACUGAGCUAAGUUGCUGAGGCUGGCCUUGAACUUGCAAUCUUCAUACCUCAGUCGUCCAAGCCACUGGAAUUACAGGCAUGCACCAUCACACCUGGCUUAUCAGUGUGUUUUAAAAUUAUUUUAUACUGAUAUAUUCUCUAUUCCUGAACCAAAACAACAUUUGUGUUUAUUUCAGCUUUUUCUAUAGUAUAUUCUGAUAACUAGGAGGGCAAAUGUUACCGAAUCUCUGAUCUUUAAACAUUUUAUUUCUUCCAGACAAAUUUUAGGACUAUCUUGUCAGGUUUUAAUCAAAAAUUUUGUUGUUUGAUUGAAAUAGCAUUAGAAAAUCACUGAAUUUAUCUAUUACAUUGUGAAGAAUGAAUAUUUUUAAAUAUUGAAUUUUUUUCCAUCCAGGCACUUAUAUAUAUAUUCUUCAAUAGAAUUUUUAUCUCUUUCUUAAUGUAAGUCACACAUUUCUGAUAAAGUUUAUUUUAUAACUUUCCCCCAUUAUUUUGAGUUGAAUGGGAAUUUUUUCAUAGACAUUUUUGAAUUGAUUAUUGCUAUGCAGAGGAGAAACAUUGCCUUUUGCAUCUGAAUCCUGUCCUUGGCCCUUGGUGGACUCCAUCUAUUAGAAUACAGGGCUUGGAUAUAAAGCUUCCUAAGGUUUUCUUUGUGGGUCAAGUAGAUCAUAGGCUCAUGGGGAAAAUAAGAUAUCAAAGUGUUAAAAUGACACAUUCACCCACAGCUUGUAAUUAUAAUGUCCCUGUGUCUUUGAACCCUUGGGCUAGACAGAGAAGCCUGUGUUACAUAUACGAUGAUGGAAUGGUUGGCCUUUUGCAUCAGCUACAGGGCUGCACAUCACUGUUGAGUGGAGUUUAUUGUGUGAAGUUCGUCGUUAGGUGGAGAGAAGGUCUCCGCUGCAGAUGAAGGGCACAGAGUCAGUGAAAAGAACAGGAGUUUCAGUUCCUAGGUUUAAACCUUACUUCCAACACUUGCUGUGUGAGUCUGAGGAAGAGAUUUUCACUAGGACUCAGAUGCUAAUGCUUUUCUCAUUGUGUGUCUAUCAUGUUAAAUGGAAUAUGGCAUGGAGGAUGUCUCUGAUACAGUAAGUGUCCAUUACAUGGAGGCCUUUGCUGUUGUUGGGAAGAGGAUGUUGGUGGAGGUGGACUUUGUGUCUGACAGGCUGGUUUUGAAGUUCUAGCUCUGCCAUUUCCUAAUGCUAUUUGGACUCUUCAAGCUACUUGUACUCUUUAAGCCUCAAUUUCCUCAAGGUUGGACUGAAGAUAAUUUAAGGAUUAAGUGAGAAUGUGAACAUGCAUGCUUCACAAAUUAUGAUAUUUCAUGUAACUGGAUGGUGGUCAUGUUAUUUCUGGAAAUCUCCCUUCUUUCUGUAGACAAAAAAAUAUAUGUUCUCAUUGAGAUAUAAAGAAGAUGUGUCUCUCAUUAAAACCACAUUUUUAAAUCAAAAUAUAUAAAGUGAGCUUCAGGUAUCAUUUAUGUUUCAUAAAAAAACAUUUCAUGGGCUAGGGAUAUAGCUCAGUUGGAAGAGUGCCUGCCUGGCAUGCACAAGGCCCUGGGUUCAAUCCCCAGCACCACAAAAAACAAACAAAAACCAAAAAACAUUUCAGGAUUUUAGUUACUUGAUUUGUAUGUGUUUUAAAGAUGUUCUCCUACUAUUUUCCAGGUAAUUAUCCAGGCCAUUCUUUCAAAACCAAGUUUUGUCAUGAAACUGAGUACCAUAGAAUUCUGCUUUUCUGAGACAUGAUGAGACUUCUUGCUUCAAGCAAUGGUAUCAUAGAUUACUUAGGAAAAGUGAGAGCAUUGCCGUAAUGUUGGGUCCAAUAUUCUUCUGCUUUCUAGCUGGGUAGAAAUCAUCUUUUUUAUUUAUUUAUUCAUUGAAUUUAGGCAUAGCAGGGAGGCACUUGAAAAAUUGUUAAUGAUUAAAAUUACUUAUCAUAAAUUUGAGUCUGAGGGAUACCUUCUUUAAAAUUGGACACACUGGGCUGUACUGUAAGAAGAAACAUUUUAUUGAAGCAAUUUUAUUGCCAACACACUUUUUUCAAAGUAUCAUAUCCAAAUGCAGAUGGGUUUUUCAACCAAGAAGUGGCUGAUCUGAACAUUCUAGAAGACAGACAUUAACCAUUCACCAAACUGUGCCAACCAUCCUUGAAAAAAAGCACAUUUCAUAAAGAAGCCAUUAAAUGUAAUUAACUGUUUUCUGAACCCAGCUUUAAGACUUCCAAUUAAACAAUUUGUUGAAUUUGUUGCCAUAUCUAUGAACUUUAAAUCUAUUGCUCAGUGAUUUUCAAAGAAGUAAGUUCUUUAAAGGUUAACUGGAAAAAUGCCUGUGGAAACAGGGUGCACACACAGAUCAGAGGUGGAGUUAUCAGCAGGCAUACUUGUGAUAUUAAUCCCAAUUUACUUAAUAUCAGGUGACUCACCUGAAGUGUCUGAUCACAAGAGAUGAAUGGUAUUGUGAGAGAGUCAGUGGGCAUUUCUCCAACCUGCUCAUGAAGGACCUUUGUCCAUGUUGGAGGGAAGCAGAGGCAAAGUUCACAGUUUAUCCACAGGUGUUAGUUACAACUGGGGUCUAUUAUUCUUUGUCCAGGGUUUAUGGUUAAACCAGGUUUGUGCCUGAGUAAAAAAUAUACAAAUACAAGAUGUGCUACAUUCUCAUUUCCCAGGCUUGUCUUGCCAGCUUCUCAGCCAGAGGAGGUACCUAGGAGGAAGGAGAAGGGGAAGGCAGAACUAUGAUAUUGCUUAGGCGAUCUCAAACUGGGCUGUACUUUACCUGGGGAAAUUUUAAAAUACAGAUGCUUGGGGUUUCCAGAUAAUUCCAGUGUACACUGUGAGUGAAGAAAAUGGCUUUGGACACUCAUCAUCCAAAAGAUGAGUUAGUUUUCAACUUCUUAAAUGCAAUCUGGUAACCCUUGUUUAUUUAGAAACAAUGGUAGGGUCAGGUUUAAAGUUGUAGUUUCAAAGAAAUAAAUAUGCAGGAGAGGUGCCAGGUGUGAGUUAUUAACUUGUGAUCUAUGAAAUCAUUUGCCAGGUUUUGAGGAUAUGUGAAUUGGGACGGGGUGAGGAGGAAAAAAGGUUCAUCCCUUUCAAAGAUAAUGGAAGGAAGCCACAAGGAGCAAAUCUUUUAGGAAUCCACUGAAUGAACAUCAAUCUGUACAAAUUUAUGCCUACACUAAGGCACACACUCAGUUUUUAAGAAAGAACAUCUCUAAGUCAUGGAGGGGUAGCCCUGAGUGUUUCCUCAAACCUGUAUCUUUUCCUGUGCCUGCACCUUGUACUUCCUCUAGUCAACAGUUCCUGGUUCCCGGGGGACUAGAGCAGCUCCCACCUACCAUUCUGACUUAAAGAGAGUCACCUUUCCUUGUGCACAGUAGCACAGGGGAAUGUGUUUGAUCUUCUCUAAAGCAUAAAUUAGGAAGUAAAACUAAUACAAUCGCAAACAAUGAAGGAAACAAUGACAAAACAGGUCAUCGGAGUUAAGGGUGACAUGCAGUGUCUUCAUCCAGUGCUCAUACUCUGAGUUUCUCUUUCACUUCCCAGAUAGCUUGUCUGCUUUCCUCUCUUCCAGCCCUCCAUCUUCUCUGGCUAAGAUGGUCUUAGUUUUGGUGACCUGGGGAUUUUCUCAUGAAUCAAAAGACUCUGGCUGACUCUUAAGAAACGCUUACUAUUAUUUCUUCAUACCUUCAGCACCAAUUUUUAAUCCCUUAAAAGGGAUUGAAACCAUGAUUGGUGAAUAGGUCUGGACUCUGAUGUUAAAUGCCACCAAUGGAUAAGAGCCUCCUCAUAAAAUUUCUUAAAUUGAAAUGUGCAAAUGAGCUUCUUGUUCAAAUGCACAAUGAUAUCCUCUGAGAAGCACCAUGACCAGUGGGGUCCUAGAGCAUUCUGUUGAGAAUGACUAAUGCUGGCAGUCAAAAACAGUGCUGGGAUCCUUCAGGUAUAUCUGCCAUAUGGGGCAGGGAAGGGGCUGUACAGUUCUGAUGUCAUGUAUUUGACAAAUCGGAUGAUGUUUUCUUUUUUAGUAUAUCAGAGCCAUUGCCUUCUGGAGCAUUUGGUAGCUAUGGCCAGAUGUACCAUUGUGGUGGGUUAUUUUCCAUUUUCUUUGUCAAUUUUAUUUAUUUCUUCAGCUCAGAGAGGGAGACGGUCUUAUCCCUACAAAUAAGGAAUGGUUCCCAUCACACACUGCCUUCAACCCACUGUAGAACCAGUCAUAUCAGCACAGUGCAAGCUCACUCCCUUCUGCUGACAGAUUGGGUUUGGAGAGUUAACAAUUUGCAAGCCAGAUCUCUGUUCUGUUUGAUGGGAAUCAGUCUUUGGUCCUUCUUGCUAUUUUGUUUCCUGCCCCAGUCCAGGCUCAGCUCUAGUGCACCACUGAAACUGGAACCCAGUCCUGCAAUAGAGGCAAGUUCUCACUUCUCUUCUUCUGAGUUCAGACUCUACUUCUGAUACUCCUGGUCCAACAUAGAUGGAUUUGUGAAGGUCUGAUGCUGACAGCAUCCAGUGCUGACCUUUGUUCUGAGCCAUAUUAUGUUUCCCCACCUUCUCACUGCUGCCUUUGGACAUUGAUGCCAGUCCCACAUGGGCCAACAUUAGCCCCUUGCUGUGACUUGAUGAGUUAGGUGUCCCUGAGUCUUGUAGUUCAUCCCUAGAAGGUGCUGGCAUGUUAAAUAAUUCCUAGGUGUGGUGAUGUUAAUAUUAGUAAUUGUAAUAAUAAAAGCAGUAACAGUGACCAUUUAUUGAACAAAUUUGAUGUUCUAAGCUCUACACUAAGUGAAUUACAUAUAUUGUUAAAUUUAAUUCUCAGAAGAACCCUAUGGAGUAAUUUCCAUUUUGGGCACAAUUUUAUUAGUGAGAAAACUGAGGCCCCAGAAGAAUUAAGACACUUGUCUAACAUCUCUCAGUAAUAAGUGGAUCUUAGAUUGGAACUCAGUUUUUGGAUUAAAGGUCUGCGCCCAUAACCACAUGGUGCACUGUCUCUACUGCCAGGUGCCCGAGUCUGUCCCUGAUUGACAGCUGCUAGAACUCUAAAGAAAGGAAAUACUAAUGAUCUUCUUUUAGAAACUGCUGAAAUGUCAGCUAGUUAAAUAUCUUUGGGAGGCAUCUGAUCAUGUUGCAUUUGUAUGUACUCUCAGUUCUUCAUAAUCAAAGCUCUCGAAAGUUCAUGGGCACUCUUUCUGCAUAGAGAUGACUGCUCACAGUUUAAAUACCUGGGAAGGGAGCUGAUACCUUCUGUCAUCCCCAAUUGAUGUUGUGUAUUAGUGAGGAAACAUGACCAGCAGAAAGUGAAAUUCAUUAAGUAUUUCAUGCCUGCAGUGAUUAUAAAACUCAACUGCAAUAAAUGAGCCAAUAGAACAGUGGUAUGAAGCUGCCAUAUGUCAGUGGAAAGCAGAAAGCAGGAGAUGGUUGCUUUCCAAGCUUAAAUAUGAAUACUUGGUCCAAUCGCCAAAAUCUUUGGCCUCUCUUGGCAUAUGAUAGCCCUGGCAUACAGCAGCGCUGCCACAUUGAAAUGCUGCUAGACAGUUCAGCCUUUGCAGAAAAUAACAUUUUGGGCUAUUGCAUUAAUUGCUAUUGCUUUGCAUUUAUAUUACUUUUUGUACUCAGGAAAGUUUAAGUAAUUUUAAAAGGUAAUUUUAAAAAUUCCAGUGAUGUUCUGAGGGAUCUCUGAGUGCUUUGUCUGUGGUAUCUUCUGAUUCAUAGUUCUUAGAAAAGGGGUAUCAGUGCUUAUUAGGAACAUGCCCUAAGGUAACAAUGCAGUCACAUGCUCAGGUCUCAUGGUACUAAAGCAUAGGUUACCACAAUUGUGGUAGGGAAUGCAGGCUUCUUUAAUAAUAUGCAACAGAAAUGAGUCUAGCUAACUCAAUUAGAAAAGAAAUGCAUUCAUUGGAAAGCAUGUGGUAGUUUAAAAAAGGAAAAGAAAAGCUGACUUACCAGACAGAACAGGAGUGGGGAAACUCCAGAAAUCUUGGCAUCAAGAACAAAUGUUCCACAUUUUCCCACUGGUCAUUAUCAGACUGAAAUCAUUAAUGUUCCCCCCUUAUGUAUCUUUCAGGGUAUACUCCCAGUGACCCACUUCCUCCAGCCAUAAGACAACACCUGACUAUAGUUUCUCUCCAGUCCAUUCAAACUAGGAUAGACUGAAUAAAUUACAGCUCUCUUAAUCAAGUUGUUUCACCUUUGAACAUUCCUGCAUCAAUACAGUAGCUUUUGGGGGACACCUAAUAUCCAAACCAUAACAGUGGCUUAAAACAAAAAUCAACAUUUCUAUUUCCCAUUUUCUGAAGAUCAGGAAUCUCAUUGUGGCUUAGCUAGGACCUUCUGGCUUGGGGGUCUCUCAUAAGGUUUCAGGCAAGGCAUUGGUCUUUGCUGUAAUCAUCUGAGGUAGAAGGAUGCACUUUCAAGGUGACAGUCUCACCUGAUUGUUGGGUUGGUAGUUGACUGGAGGCCUCAGUUAUUCCUCAUGAAGGCCUCUCUCCACAGGCUGCUUAAGUAUCUUGCCAACAGGAUGGCUGACUCAUGCCUAGUAAGCCACCUAAGAAAGAAAAUCAAAAGUGGCAAUGCCUCAGAAGACUCAUACCUUCACUGUGCCAUAUUCUCUAUUAGAAAUGAGUCACACAUUUGUCCUGCAUUUAAAAGAAAUGGAAUUAGCUCUAUUUUUUGAAAGGAAGAAUGUGAAAGAAUUUUCAGAUUCAUUUUAAAACUACCACAAAGUGCCAGCCUGUAAUCAGUCUUCCACCUGACUAUUAAUUAAUGAAAAAGAAUGGUUACCACUAAAGGAAGGUUAGCACUGGUUUCUCCUAAGUGAUGACAACUGAGCUGGGGUUUAAAAGCUCCAUAGGAGGUUCUGUAGUACUCAAUGGCAUUUCAUUUGAAGGGCUUUAAAUAUGGAAAGCCUUGAAAGUGUGAACCAGCAUGGCAUAUUGCAGAAAUUGUAAGUGCUUAGUUUGGAAUUCCUAGAAUCUGAGAUAUAAGGAAACACUGGUGGAAAACCAGACUGAGGAAAAGGGCCAACCAUCAAAAGCUUAAAACUUAACACGUAGUGUGAUCACCCAUCUUAGUUUUUCAGGACAGUCCUUGUUAAUGCAUGCUAUCUUGGUUUAAUUAUUAAUAGAGUCCUCUUCCACAGUCACAAAGUCCUGGUUUGGACAAUAAAUUGUAUAGUCAAUUUAAUUCUGUACCACCACUACCACAUCACCACCACCACCACAACAACAACAAAAAAGAAAAGAAAAAAGAAAGAAAGAAAGAAAGAAAGAAAAAAGCAGUGUCCAUAGUUUAGUCAAUGACUGAAUUUUUCACUCUAUAAUAAAACAAUGAAAAAUGUACCUAUUUUGUAUAGAGAAUACAUUGGAGAAAAAAAUCAGAAUCAUGGAAAUUAAUUUCAGUAGGUGAUGGUGGUACAAGACUUUUAAAAAGCCUUCUUAAUGUGUUUUCCAGAAGAUUAUGUUUUAAUUUUCUUUGGCUUCUUGUUGAAAUGCAAAUAAUUUUUUAAAUGAAUGGGAAAUUUUCUUUUACUACACAAACUAAGAAGUUUAAUAGCAUUGGUUUUAUUUGAAAAAAGUUACAUGAAUUAACUGAUAAGAGAGACUAGUCAUAGGAGAAAUUUCAUUACACUUCUUUUUCUAGAAAAUAUUUAAUUAUAAAAGUUUGGCUCCUAGUAAUGACUCAAACUAUACAGAAAAGUUUACAAUCAAAUUUGUUGUUCAAUCCCUUUUGAUUUUAAUAAACUCCUCUAAGUUAAGUAAUGGUCUUUCUAUCUAUCAACUUAUUAAGAUAUUUGUCUUUGUUCAUUUUGUGCUACUUUAACAGAAUGCCUGAGUCUGGGUAAUUUAUAAUGAAGAAAAAUUUAUUGACUGACAGUUCUGGAGGAUGUAGAGUCCAGGAUCAAGGCACUGGCAUCUGCACUGGUGAGGGCCUUCUAGAUAUGUCUUCAUAUGGCAGAAAGCAGAAGAGAAAGGAGCAAGAAUGAACCCAUAUAUGGGAACCCUUUUUAUAAUGACAUUAAUCUAUUCAUGAAGAUUCCGAUCCAAACACUUCCCAGCAUUAUGUUCUACCUACCAACAUUGUUGCAUUGUGCUUAAGUUUACAACACAUUAUUUCUGGGGCAUAUAUUCAAGCCAUAACAGAUAUUAUCAUUUAUUUUAUUUAUAUAUUCUAUAG